Molecule: ribosomal RNA, 253 nt
Filed under: uncultured bacterium
Lineage: Bacteria
Description: partial 16S ribosomal RNA
Rfam family: Bacterial small subunit ribosomal RNA
Source: RNAcentral
UACGUAGGGUCCGAGCGUUAAUCGGAAUUACUGGGCGUAAAGCGUGCGCAGGCGGUUUUGUAAGCCAGAUGUGAAAGCCCCGGGCUCAACCUGGGAAUGGCAUUUGGGACUGCAAGGCUAGAGUACGGCAGAGGGAGGUGGAAUUCCAGGUGUAGCAGUGAAAUGCGUAGAUAUCAGGAGGAACACCAAUGGCGAAGGCAGCUCGCUGGGACGUGACUGACGCUGAGACGCGAAAGCGUGGGGAGCAAACAGG